CAGUAGCCGCGGUAAUACGUAGGGUGCGAGCGUUAAUCGGAAUUACUGGGCGUAAAGCGUGCGCAGGCGGUUAUAUAAGACAGAUGUGAAAUCCCCGGGCUCAACCUGGGACCUGCAUUUGUGACUGUAUAGCUAGAGUACGGUAGAGGGGGAUGGAAUUCCGCGUGUAGCAGUGAAAUGCGUAGAUAUGCGGAGGAACACCGAUGGCGAAGGCAGCCCCCUGGGAUAACACUGACGCUCAUGCACGAAAGCGUGGGGAGCAAACAGGAUUAGAUACCCCCGUAGUCCCUGUCUCUUAUAC
This 301-nucleotide ribosomal RNA is filed under the name uncultured bacterium. RNAcentral's name for it is "partial 16S ribosomal RNA". It matches the Rfam family "Bacterial small subunit ribosomal RNA", at positions 509 to 807 of the family's 1533-position model. The record is from RNAcentral.